Molecule: ribosomal RNA, 166 nt
Filed under: Olea europaea subsp. europaea
Lineage: Eukaryota; Viridiplantae; Streptophyta; Magnoliopsida; Lamiales; Oleaceae
Description: Bacterial small subunit ribosomal RNA
Source: Rfam by way of RNAcentral
AAGUAAUGCAUGUUUGUCUUCAGCUUGUGUCAUGUAAGGUGUUGGGUUAAGUUAUACACUAAGCACAAUCCUCGUUUUUAUUUGUCAUCGUUGAGUUUGAAGUCCUGAACUAACUAUUAAUGAUAGGUCGAAGGAAGAUGGGGAUGACGUCAAAUCAUCAAUUCCU